Molecule: long non-coding RNA, 2282 nt
Filed under: Homo sapiens (human)
Lineage: Eukaryota; Metazoa; Chordata; Mammalia; Primates; Hominidae
Description: non-protein coding lnc-TSHZ3-1:2
Source: RNAcentral
CUCUGAGAAUCUGAGAUUCAGGGUGUGUGACUGCUGUAUGUAUCUUAUCUUGAACUGGAUUGAAAGUAUCAGAAAACUUGCACGGCCAAGUUGAAGAUUCUCACCAAGACUCAUGUGAGACUUCCCUCUGGAUGACCAGAGAGCUGAAAGAUGCAGGCUUGACCAGGUACAAGGCCCAUGGGGAAGGAAGGGCAAAGCAGUUUCUGCUGUGAAAGAGUUCACCCAUAAGCUCAGCUGGAGUCAUGAGUCUUCUAAGGACGAAGGAAAGGGCCAGGCAAGGCUAAUAUGGUGGAUCCGUCAACACAGAGCAAUGUGCAGAGCCCGGCAGGAUUUGUGCAGGUUGAGACAGAUGGGAGGAGAAAAGGCAGUCUAGGAGACCAAAGGAGGCUUCUCCAGCUCCGGAGGCUCAGGCAUGCCAGAAAGAGGCACUCUCUGGCUCCCCUUGGACGACCCACUGUGUACAAAGCACGCCGUCAUUCGCCAUUUUUCAGUAUCCUUAGGGCAGCCCUGAGAGUCACAUCAAGCGUGUGUUAUGAUUCCCAUUUCAUAGAUGAGAAAACUGAAGCUCAGAGACAGAAAACGAGGUCUUCAGACUCCAGGUCCAGAGUGUCAUCCCCCACCAGGUAGGACUGCUUUCUUUAGGGCCCUGGACUCAAAAGAGCAUCUGCAGUCGGCCUUUUGGACCACACAGGACCAGAGAGCCUUGGUGAAGAGUAGGUGGUUAGGGCUGUCAGGAGCACUUUUUGGUGGGCCAGAAAAGCAGGGACAAGCACAGGUGGACCAAGGAGCUGCACUCCGAGGCCUUGGGCCAAACCUGAGGGUACUGAGAAAAAGAGAGGCCUUUGAGAAGACAGAGGUGCUCGAAUUCCCCAGGUUUGCUCCUUAAUGGAGCAUGCGAGGGUCUUUCUCACAGCCAGACCCAACCUAGUACCGAUGUGUGAAGACACCAAGUACAGAAAGCCCUUCAGUCACCAGAGAUGGCCUGACUCCGAGCUGAGGGCCAGGCUGCCAGGAAAGCCAUCUGCUCUCCCGGGAGUCCAGUGACUCAGAGAUCCAGUCUGGAAGCCCUGCUGUGGGGGCACAAGAGACCAUUCGCCCCAACAUUCCCGGCCUCUCUACGGGGCUGGUGAGUGCAAGCAGGAGGGAGUGACAGUAUUGGUGAGGAAUGAAAUUGCAGCGGCUGUGUGAUGCUGUAAAUAUUUGGUUUGAAACAGCAGAGACAUUCAAGAUAAAAGUUAAAUAGAAAUAAAAGCAGUCAGAUGUUUAUUAUAUGUUGCCAUAAAAUUCAAGAGCAGCCUAAAAAGGCAGAUCAGGAUUUGUUUAACAAAUAAGAGAGGAGAAUGAAGGAGGUAGAGGUUUGACUGUGGAAGGGUGUAUUUUGCUGGAAUCUGGACAGUGAUAGAAGCAAAGUGAGAAUGACUCGGCCCUUAGACUGGGAGAAUGAGUUGUCCUUAGGUGGCUGAGAACUGGGGGAUUUCCCCAGGUCUCAAGGCCUUAAAGGGACCCACAAGUCCCCUGGCUGUCUGCAUUUCCUGCCCGUUGCAGGGGGCAAGCCCCAAGGGGAGAACAGGGUGGAAGAUCUGGGGGAGCUAAAUUCUGGGAGCGCAGGCAAUGCGGAAGCACGGUGCACACAAGGAUGUCCGGGGAGGGGCAAUGCUGGUACUGUGAGGCUGAUGGAGCCUUUUUUUCAGUCCUGCUCCCUCUCCAUAGCCAGCUCCUCAGGCCACCAUCAGAUUUUAGGCAGGGCUCAAAUGAGGAACUGGUCCAUAGUAACACAAAAUAACCCAGCUAGAAGGGCCCUUUACAGAGCUCUGUACUUGUCUAGGGGGUGGCAAGCUUUUUCUGUAAAGGGCUAGCCAGCAAAUAUUCUCCAUUUUCUGAGUCAUUCUGUCUCUGUUGCAACCGCUUUGCUCUUGCAGCAUGACAGCCCCCAUACACGAUCUGUAAAUAAAUGGACAAGGCUGGGUUCCAAUAAAACUUUAUUUAAAAAAGCAGGCUGGCCAGGCACAGUGGCUCACGCCUGUAAUCCCAGCACUUUGGGAGGCCGAGGCAGGUGGAUCACCUGAGGUCAGGAGUUCAAGACCAGCCUGGCCAACAUGGUGAAAACCCAUCUCUAUUAAAAAUACAAAAAUUAGCCGGGUGUGGUGGCAGGCAUCUGCAAUCUCAGCUACUCAGGAGGCUGAGGCAGGAGAAUCACUUGAACCCGGGAGGUGGAGGUUCUAGUGAGCCGAGAUUGUGCUAUUUGCACUCUAGCCUGGGUGACAGAGCGAGACUCCAUCUCC